This 769-nucleotide ribosomal RNA is filed under the name uncultured Bacilli bacterium. RNAcentral describes it as "bacterial SSU rRNA". It matches the Rfam family "Bacterial small subunit ribosomal RNA", at positions 28 to 768 of the family's 1533-position model. The record is from RNAcentral. Lineage: Bacteria; Bacillati; Bacillota; Bacilli.
GACGAACGCUGGCGGCGUGCCUAAUACAUGCAAGUCGAACGCUUCUUUUUCCACCGGAGCUUGCUCCACCGGAAAAAGAAGAGUGGCGAACGGGUGAGUAACACGUGGGUAACCUGCCCAUCAGAAGGGGAUAACACUUGGAAACAGGUGCUAAUACCGUAUAACAAUCAAAACCGCAUGGUUUUGAUUUGAAAGGCGCUUUCGGGUGUCGCUGAUGGAUGGACCCGCGGUGCAUUAGCUAGUUGGUGAGGUAACGGCUCACCAAGGCCACGAUGCAUAGCCGACCUGAGAGGGUGAUCGGCCACAUUGGGACUGAGACACGGCCCAAACUCCUACGGGAGGCAGCAGUAGGGAAUCUUCGGCAAUGGACGAAAGUCUGACCGAGCAACGCCGCGUGAGUGAAGAAGGUUUUCGGAUCGUAAAACUCUGUUGUUAGAGAAGAACAAGGAUGAGAGUAACUGUUCAUCCCUUGACGGUAUCUAACCAGAAAGCCACGGCUAACUACGUGCCAGCAGCCGCGGUAAUACGUAGGUGGCAAGCGUUGUCCGGAUUUAUUGGGCGUAAAGCGAGCGCAGGCGGUUUCUUAAGUCUGAUGUGAAAGCCCCCGGCUCAACCGGGGAGGGUCAUUGGAAACUGGGAGACUUGAGUGCAGAAGAGGAGAGUGGAAUUCCAUGUGUAGCGGUGAAAUGCGUAGAUAUAUGGAGGAACACCAGUGGCGAAGGCGGCUCUCUGGUCUGUAACUGACGCUGAGGCUCGAAAGCGUGGGGAG